This 125-nucleotide ribosomal RNA is filed under the name Aetokthonos hydrillicola CCALA 1050. Its description in RNAcentral is "partial 23S ribosomal RNA". It matches the Rfam family "Bacterial large subunit ribosomal RNA", at positions 2800 to 2925 of the family's 2925-position model. The record is from RNAcentral. Lineage: Bacteria; Bacillati; Cyanobacteriota; Cyanophyceae; Nostocales; Hapalosiphonaceae.
CAAGAUGAGUACUCUCAUGGAUUAAUCCAGUAAGGUCACAGGUAGAUUACCUGUUUAUAGGCAGUAGGUGGAAGUGCAGUGAUGUCCGCAGCCGAGCUGUCCUAAUAGACCGAGGGCUUGACCUC